AACCCAUGACGACCUCUACCCACUACCACGGCUCCGUCUCCCAGCCAUUAACACCAACAACACCAAUACGAGCAAACACGCCAUUUUCCUAUAUCAAAAAAAUUGCAUACAUGAACAAAAUUUUGAAAAAGAAACUGUAAAAAUAGCGAAAAAAUUUCUAAUAACAUUAGAAUGCAUACAAAUGCUAUUUCAAACCAGAUCAUGCAAAAAAUUUCAGCAAAAAUCGAACUUUUUGAAAAAUUCCAAAAUUACAUGCAUAUUAAAGCAUGAAUCUUAGAUCAACGAAAAAUAACUUGUUUUGACGUUGUUCAAGUGUUCUACAAGCAAGGUAAUAGCCUAAGACACUGAUCUAUAGCAAAAAAUUGCAUCAAAAACGGAUUAGAAC
Molecule: long non-coding RNA, 385 nt
Filed under: Ananas comosus (pineapple)
Lineage: Eukaryota; Viridiplantae; Streptophyta; Magnoliopsida; Poales; Bromeliaceae
Description: long non-coding RNA (ACOM_LNC033195)
Source: RNAcentral